GGCUCCACCUCUAGGAGCGGAGACUUUUAGUAUGUUUACCUUCUGGUCAUCCUGAACACAUUUCUGAAGAAAUUGCUUAGGUUGCAGCUCACGCACUCUACACCUUCAUUUUGACUAUUCUUUGGGCGGACUAAAAAUAUUACUUCAUAUAUUUU
Aricia agestis (brown argus) is the source of this 155-nucleotide long non-coding RNA. RefSeq lists it as uncharacterized. Lineage: Eukaryota; Metazoa; Arthropoda; Insecta; Lepidoptera; Lycaenidae. The transcript is spliced from 3 exons. The record is from RefSeq and is a predicted model, not a curated record.